CAGUAGCCGCGGUAAUACGGAGGAUCCAAGCGUUAUCCGGAAUCAUUGGGUUUAAAGGGUCCGUAGGCGGUCUUGUAAGUCAGUGGUGAAAGCCCAUCGCUCAACGGUGGAACGGCCAUUGAUACUGCAGGACUUGAAUUAUUGGGAAGUAACUAGAAUAUGUAGUGUAGCGGUGAAAUGCUUAGAGAUUACACGGAAUACCAAUUGCGAAGGCAGGUUACUACCAAUUGAUUGACGCUGAUGGACGAAAGCGUGGGUAGCGAACAGGAUUAGAUACCCCUGUAGUCCCUGUCUCUUAUAC
This 301-nucleotide ribosomal RNA is filed under the name uncultured bacterium. RNAcentral's name for it is "partial 16S ribosomal RNA". It matches the Rfam family "Bacterial small subunit ribosomal RNA", at positions 509 to 807 of the family's 1533-position model. The record is from RNAcentral.